GAGUUUGAUCCUGGCUCAGGAUGAACGCUGGCGGCGUGCCUAACACAUGCAAGUCGAGCGAAGCGCUUACGACAGAACCUUCGGGGAAAGAUGUAAGGGACUGAGCGGCGGACGGGUGAGUAACGCGUGGGUAACCUGCCUCAUACAGGGGGAUAACAGUUGGAAACGGCUGCUAAUACCGCAUAAGCGCACAGUACCGCAUGGUACGGUGCGAAAAACUCCGGUGGUAUAAGAUGGACCCGCGUCUGAUUAGCUUGUUGGUGAGGUAACGGCCCACCAAGGCGACGAUCAGUAGCCGGCCUGAGAGGGUGAACGGCCACAUUGGGACUGAGACACGGCCCAGACUCCUACGGGAGGCAGCAGUGGGGAAUAUUGCACAAUGGGGGAAACCCUGAUGCAGCGACGCCGCGUGGAGGAAGAAGGUCUUCGGAUUGUAAACUCCUGUUGUUGGGGAAGAUAAUGGCGGUACCCAACAAGGAAGUGACGGCUAACUACGUGCCAGCCGCCGCGGUAAUUU
Molecule: ribosomal RNA, 517 nt
Filed under: uncultured bacterium
Lineage: Bacteria
Description: bacterial SSU rRNA
Rfam family: Bacterial small subunit ribosomal RNA
Source: RNAcentral